RNAcentral lists this ribosomal RNA (428 nucleotides) under Verrucomicrobiota bacterium. RNAcentral's name for it is "Verrucomicrobia bacterium partial 16S ribosomal RNA". It matches the Rfam family "Bacterial small subunit ribosomal RNA", at positions 355 to 776 of the family's 1533-position model. The record is from RNAcentral. Lineage: Bacteria; Pseudomonadati; Verrucomicrobiota.
UAGGGAAUCUUCCGCAAUGGACGCAAGUCUGACGGAGCAACGCCGCGUGAGUGAAGAAGGUUUUCGGUUCGUAAAACUCUGUUGUAAGAGAAGAACAAAUUGUAGAGUAACUGCUACAGUCUUGACGGUAUCUUACCAGAAAGCCACGGCUAACUACGCGCCAGCAGCCGCGGUAAUACGUAGGUGGCAAGCGUUGUCCGGAUUUAUUGGGCGUAAAGGGGGCGCAGGCGGUCUAUUAAGUCAGGUGUGAAAGCGUGAGGCUUAACCUCAUUAAGCACUUGAAACUGAUAGGCUUGAGUGAAGGAGAGGAAAGUGGAAUUCCUAGUGUAGCGGUGAAAUGCGUAGAUAUUAGGAGGAAUACCGGUGGCGAAGGCGACUUUCUGGACUUUUACUGACGCUCAGGUACGAAAGCGUGGGGAGCAAACAGG